This 922-nucleotide long non-coding RNA is filed under the name Numida meleagris (helmeted guineafowl). Its description in RNAcentral is "lncRNA (ENSNMEG00000017869.1)". Lineage: Eukaryota; Metazoa; Chordata; Aves; Galliformes; Numididae. The record is from RNAcentral.
CUUGAAAAUCAUGGAAUCAGCGAAUGAAAAAGGAACAGAUUAAAAAAGAAACUAGUUAUCUUUGGAGAUCCAUGGCUGUGUAAAUAGAAAACCCUUACACUCUGGUGAGCUCUGUCUCAAAUGCACUCCUCAAAGAGUAACCAGGAGGUUGGCAGCAGAGUUGGUCAGUUAUGAUACUAUUAAGCGACUGCUUGCUUUGGGCUUGGUAUUGAUUUGUGCCCAUAAGUCAGGCAGGCUACAGGAGUGUACCACAUGCCUGCUUCAGCUGGUUUGCCUUUGGCUGUAGCUGUGAGUGCGCUGUGGUGAGCCGGGCCUACCCAGAGGCCCUGCUGCAGUGUGGCAGGGGAGGUGGCAGCACUGCUGCCUCCACACAAGGCCAAGUACUCAGCACAAUGCCCCACACCACACAAACAACUUCCUCCCUCAUUUCUGGAGCUGUUCUGCUGGUUAAAUAGAGAAGAGUAAAUUAGGGGAAGCUCAGCCAGCUGGUGACCUUGCACUGCCUCCCGACCUGCCGGAACGCCUGAGGGAUGAGUUCACUGGCUGAGGAAAAAUGGCUCUAAUAAACAGUGGCAACCGUUGGUCUGGCAAUAAAUCCUCCUCAGCUUGGGGCCUUGCGCAUUGUAGUCUCCUCAACAAACCCUGGGUGCUGCACGGAGACCCAUCCUUGUUUUUCACCAGCAAGGUAGGAGUAACAUGGACUCAGUUGUUGGGCAAAGCAGCAGACUCAAAAGAUGAAGUUUGGUACAGUUGUCAGUUUGAGGAAGUUGCCAUUCCUGGGAAAUACACAUUUGGUAGGCUUUAUGGUCUUAAACAUGUACUAAAGCUUUACGUGUCUUUUCUUCACAAAAAUUCUCAUGUUACAUUCAGAACUUGAAUUAAUGAGGAAAGUGUAAUAAAUACAGGUUGAGAAUAGAAACCA